GGACAGAGUCCCUGUCUCAUAACGGACAAGGAUGGCUUGCAGAGGAACUGAGUAUGUAACAUCUCUUGCCUGAGGAUACCUGAAGUGAAAGGGACAGAGUCCCUGUCUCAUACCGGACAAGGACGGCUUGCAGAGGAACUGAGUAGGGAACAUCAGAUGAAGUUGGAAGAAGCCUAACAUUGCCUGCCCUGAUGUCAUCAGUUGAAGCUCUCUUGCCUGAGGAUACCUGAAGUGAAAGGGACAGAGUCCCUGUCUCAUAACGGACAAGGACGGCUUGCAGAGGAACUGAGUAUGGAACAUCAGAUGAAGUUGGAAGAAGCCUAACAUUGCCUGCCCUGAAGUCCUCAGUUGAGCUCUCUUGCCUGAGGAUACCUGAAGUGAAAGGGACAGAGUCCCUGUCUCAUACCGGAAAAGGACGGCUUGCAGAGGAACUGAGUAUGGAACAUCAGAUGAAGUUGGAAGAAGCCUAACAUCGCCUGCCCUGAAGUCCUCAGUUGAAGCUCUCUUGCCUGAGGAUACCUGAAGUGAAAGUUUCAGGGACAGAGUCCAUGUCUCAUACCGGACAAGGACGGCUUGCAGAGGAACUCAGUAAGGAACAUCAGAUGAAGUUGGAUGAAGCCUAUCAUUGCCUGCCCUGAAGUCAUCAGUUGAAGCUCUCUUGCCUGAGGAUACCUGAAGUGAAAGUUUCAGGGACAGAGUCCAUGUCUCAUACCGGACAAGGACGGCUUGCAGAGGAACUCAGUAAGGAACAUCAGAUGAAGUUGGAUGAAGCCUAUCAUUGCCUGCCCUGAAGUCAUCAGUUGAAGCUCUCUUGCCUGAGGAUACCUGAAGUGAAAGGGACAGAGUCCCUGUCUCAUACCGGACAAGGACGGCUUGCAGAGGAACUGAGUAUGGAACAUCAGAUGAAGUUGGAAGAAGCCUAACAUUGCCUGCCCUGAAGUCAUCAGUUCAAGAUCUCUUGCUUGAGGAUACCUGAAGGGAAAGUGACUACAGGUUAUGCUUGUGUUUGGUGAAGCCUAACAUUGCCUGCCCUGAAUCAUCAGUUGAAGCUCUCUUGCCUGAGGAUACCUGAAGUGAAAGGGACAGAGUCCCUGUUUCAUACCGGAGAAGGACGGCUUGCAGAGGAACUGAGUAUGGAACAUCAGAUGAAGUGGAUGAAGCCUAACAUUGCCUGCCCUGAAGUCAUCAGUUGAAGCUCUCUUGCCUGAGGAUACCUGAAGUGAAAGUGACUACAGGUUAUGCUUGUGUUUGGUGACCUGAGACGGUUUGAACUGACACUUUCUCUGUGGUGAUCAAUGUCAGAUACCACAGCAAUGGCACUCACAUGAAUUUAGUACCAGUCAAAACCUGAAUAGGAGAUAUAUGAGCAUGGACAGAGAAAGAGAGAAAGAACAAUUGUUGAAGAGGCUAAGCAUGUGUGAGACAGAGGAAGACAGUGAGAGACAGAAAGAGAGAGGGGGGGGAGAAAGGGGGGUGAAGUGGAAAAGAGGACACUGUGAUAUUAAAGCAGAUAUCUUGAUUGACAGAAA
RNAcentral lists this small RNA (1529 nucleotides) under Rattus norvegicus (Norway rat). Its description in RNAcentral is "uncharacterized LOC103691231". Lineage: Eukaryota; Metazoa; Chordata; Mammalia; Rodentia; Muridae. The record is from RNAcentral.